RNAcentral lists this ribosomal RNA (90 nucleotides) under Leptolyngbyaceae cyanobacterium RM2_2_4. Lineage: Bacteria; Bacillati; Cyanobacteriota; Cyanophyceae; Leptolyngbyales; Leptolyngbyaceae. The record is from RNAcentral.
CCCGAACCCAUCCCGAACUCGGUCGUGAAACAUCGCUGCGGCAAAGAUAGUCGGAGGGUUGCCUCCCGCUAAAAUAGCUCGGCGCCAGGC